CGAGCGGGGCGCCGAGAGCGGCUCCAGCGCAGAGCAGAGGAGCUCCCUCGGAGCGCUUUCAUCGCCGAGCAGAGGAGCUCGGAGUGGUUCCAUCGCGGAUAGGAGGGGCCCGGAGCGGCUCCAUGGCCGGGCGGAGCCCCCGGGAGGGCCCAGGCGGGCGCUGAGGGUCCCCGCAGCCUGAGGGGCCCGGCCUGGUGAGCGCCGCCCUCCCGGGACACCGCGGGGUCGGGGCCGCUUUUCUCCUGUUUCAGCUCGGUGCUGUCGCUGGGACUCGCCGCGUUCAGGUGCGGAUCCCUCUCGCUGUGACUCGCAGGUUUCGGGUUUGGAUCCCUCUCGCUGUGACUCGCAGCGUUCAGGUGCGGAUCCCUUUCCCAGCCCCUCGUGCAGGGACGGCACUCAUCGAUGGCCGUGGCCGGAGCUGCCGGGACAGGUCGGGCUGUGCGGUACAGAACAGUCUGUUCAAUCCAGCCUGCAGAUGGAAAUCCAUCAGUAAAUGAACAUUUCCUCCGUGCUGCUGCCAGUUUGCACCUUUUCCUUUGUGCCGCAGGGGGACAGGGCAGCGGUGCUGCAGCAUUUUAAGGAAUUGGUGGUACCCUGGAGCACAAAAAGCAGCUCUGCUGAGUGCACUGCAUGAACCCGACAGCCGCUUUUCAGAGAAACACGAUCCCCUCGUGGAGGACGUGCAACAACUGAAGCCAGGAGUGAGUGAGUUACAGGAGCUGCAUUGGCUCUUCAGGAGGAGGAGUCCCUGCUGCUCUUCCUGGAGAAGAUGAACGAGCUGCAGCUGUGGCUCCACCUGAACCUGUGGAGAUCCAUCCUGGGAUGGAGAAGGUGCUGCAGGACACGUGGUCUGCAGCUGAAAUGGGGCAGGUGCACAGGAUCCACACCCCAGAGCACACCUGGCUGUCAAAUUCAAACAGCAGCAUCUGCACUCUGGGCUCCUCUGCUGAUCCUGAUUUCCCUUGUGUUGUUAUGGCAUGAGGAACUCUCAUCUGGCACCAUCCCAGCUCCUCUGGCACACCUCUGGAAUUCCUGCUGUGCAUUCAUCAGGCCAGAGUGCAGGAGCUAUGCAGGAAAACCCUUCCUGACUACCUGCAUUAGACUGAAAACCUCACGCAGCAAUCCAGCAUGAUUUUAUUAUUUUCAAUUUCUACUUAAACGCUGGGUUGUUAAAGCUCUACACUUGUUCUGUUUCUGUAUCCUUCCUUUUCUGUAUUGCAUGGAUUUCCUGUGAACUAAAGUCCUGAUCCACUUCAGGUGAGGAGAGGUGAGCUUUGCCUUGAUCCAGAUCUGGGGAGUUCAGUCCUUAACGUCCUCCUGGAAUUCUCUGCCCAAGUUCUGCCCUGCUGAGCUUCCCCUGCUGGAAUUCUCUGCCAAACACCAGUUUGUAUUGCUGAGCUUCUCCCAUAGUUCUUGGCACUUUUGCAUUAUUUUGCAGUAAAUGACACUGAUUCCUUAAAUUCCAUUCCUGCUGUCUGUGUUUUUGGUGCUGCCCCUGCCCAACCUGAUGCAUUCUCUCUUUUCAUCAGUUUACAUCUCCCUGUCUCCAUUUUUACAUGACAUUCAAAAUCUGGAAUUUAUCAAUGCUGGGUUUAUAUAAACAAGAUAAAAUGUUUACAAAAUUUAUUGAAAAUUUACAGAACAAAACCAAGUCUAUGAUACAAAAUGAGAUCAGAUAACAACAAACAGCAGCCAUGGGCUGGAAGUUGCUUCCUCCUCAUCUGUCAGCUACACUGCACGCAGGGAGACCAAGUUCCUCCAGUCCUUUCAGAGCCAGGAUUUUGGGGUUGGUGGCCACGCUUUUGGUGGUGUUCUGGGUUUUAUAAAUGCCAAUUAACCUGUCUGCAAUCUCAAACAUGUUGUUGCGCAGGCUGAUGAUGAUGAACUGGGCGUUUUUGGUUUGUUC
Molecule: long non-coding RNA, 1906 nt
Organism: Melospiza georgiana
Lineage: Eukaryota; Metazoa; Chordata; Aves; Passeriformes; Passerellidae
Exons: 2
Source: RefSeq, a predicted model, not a curated record